This 202-nucleotide ribosomal RNA is filed under the name uncultured bacterium. RNAcentral's name for it is "partial 16S ribosomal RNA". It matches the Rfam family "Bacterial small subunit ribosomal RNA", at positions 117 to 331 of the family's 1533-position model. The record is from RNAcentral.
GUAGGAACCUACCCCUUGGCGGGGAAUAACCAUUUGAAAGAAUGGCUAAUACCGCAUAAGAUUUUUAAAUGAAAGGACGUAACUGUCCACCGAGGGAGGGGCCUGCGGCCCAUCAGCUUGUUGGUGAGGUAAUGGCUCACCAAGGCUAUGACGGGUAGGGGACGUGAGAGCGUGUUCCCCCAGAAUGGUACUGAGAACGGAC